AGUUAGUUAACUGUCUCCAGAUAGUAACAGUGCAGGGAGGUGUCUGCAUUCCAGGUCCAGAACUGGUUUUCUAGUUAGUUAACUGUCACCACAUAGUAACAGUGCAGGGAGGUGUCUGCAUUCCAGGUCCAGAACUGGCUUACUAGUUAGUUAACUGUCACCACAUAGUAACAGUGCAGGGAGGCGUCUGCAUUCCAGUUCCAGAACUGGUUUAUCAGUUAGUUAGCUGUCUCCAGAUAGUAACAGUGCAGGGAGGUGUCUGCAUUCCAGGUCCAGAACUGGUUUACUAGUUAGUGAGGUCCAGCUCGUGUCUGUGUGUUUGUAAGGAUCCAGGUGUGGGAACCAGACAGUUUGAAAACCAGCCCAAAUGCAGAGAGCAUUUUCACUACCACCGAGACACUACUUUUUAAGAACACACUUCUUGUGUUUGGUUUUUUGUCUUACACAGACCGUCUCCUCCCCUCUGUGAAAGCAUCGAGACUGCUUGUUAGUUGGACUAGCCGGCAAUGAGUUUAUAAUGAAAAGAAAAUGUAUUUUGAAUUCUCAGAUCUGAGGUUUUCAUUAAUUUGAUAAGUCAUGAAUUUUAAGCUCCGUUAUAAAAAUCUCUAUAAUGCUUUUCCCUGUGUUUAGACGUUUCUCAUCUGCCGCUUUGCGUGUUGCCGCACAGAGGUUGGGUACGUAGAUUUGUCGUAAAUUAAAUAUUAAAGCUUUAUAGACUAUUUUAAUUUCCUUUCUGUUGGCACUCGCUCUCCCAGCUCCACGUAGCUCUGUGCACAGUCUUUGAAGGGAGCCAAGUUUGGAGAAUGUUAAUGAGGAGAGUUUCCUGAAUGGGGCGAGGGAAGCCUCGCCGACCCCGACCCCGUAUCACGCCUUUGCCACACAGUCUGAGGUUUCCGUCGAGGCUCUUCUGCAAGAUAUCUGUUCUCGCCAGAAGCUGUCCUGCAUUGUCAGGGAAAAGGUAUUAGGUGCAGGUGUCAAACAUGACUAAUGAGGCAUGAGGAGUCGACAGCAAAAUAACAGAGAUUAUAGGGACAGAGGACUUGUGAGUGAAGUGUGAAUAGCGGUGUAGAUGUGUGACUGACACGAGAAGAGGGAGCCGGCCCAGAGGAGCGGGCGCCAGCACGCCUGUGUGGAGAACGGGCAAUUUCCCUUCUUUGAUUGCUAUCUCCUCACAUGCUAUCGUGGGGUAGGGGAAAAAAAAUAAUAAUUGUUUUUCUCUUUAAAUGGUGAGGUUCCUGCAAGGGCUCAGGCUUGGCAGCCAAGUUCCCCACAUGCCCUCAGACAAGCCAGAGUCAUCCUUUUCCAUGUCUUAGAUUUACACAACUUGUUUUAUUGCGAAGCUGUCGGAAAGGCCGAGGCAUAGUUUGCUCGUUCAUUUCCUCGUCGUCAGACCAUCACAGGGAGCGCACGGUAGGCGCACACCUACCUCCAGACCAAUUAAGUUGUACACAUCGGUUCUGUAUGAAAGAGGGACCAUGCGGUCUCCUACGCUUCUGGGGCCCCCAACGGCUCUGACUGGUCCAUCCUGUCUUCCUGAAUCCUAUAUUCUAAAUGGAGGAGACCAAGAAAAAAAAAAAAAA
RNAcentral lists this long non-coding RNA (1580 nucleotides) under Sus scrofa (pig). Its description in RNAcentral is "lncRNA (ENSSSCG00055024293.1)". Lineage: Eukaryota; Metazoa; Chordata; Mammalia; Artiodactyla; Suidae. The record is from RNAcentral.